Molecule: long non-coding RNA, 1162 nt
Organism: Rattus rattus (black rat)
Lineage: Eukaryota; Metazoa; Chordata; Mammalia; Rodentia; Muridae
Exons: 2
Source: RefSeq, a predicted model, not a curated record
GGUGGGGGAAGGACAGACUCCUUUGUGUAGUGUCAUCUCUUGGUGGCAGGUGUGGUAACGGCUGUUCUUCAGUGGGCUCACUGUAGUGGGUGCCUGGUACUAUUUCGGGAAUUCCACUAGAAAGACUUGUCAACCAGUCUGGCUCAGCUGUAAGACAUGCUGCUAGGUGUGGCCUUCAUCACUCCAGAGUCUUACUGUGGAACCUCUAUUGGCCUUGAAUUUGUUAGGGAGCAUGGGUUGGGUUCAAACUCACAAUUCUGUCCUCGUUUCCUUCGUAUCUUGUCUUUAAGAGAACAGAGUGACUAGAGAAAUGGCUUAGUGGUUAAGAACACUAAAAGCUGUGGGAGCCAGGUCCAUGAUGAUGCAAAGCUAUCUGUGCCUGAAGGCCUUUCUGUGUGAGUGGGUGCCUGGCACACUCUGCGUGAGUUAACCUCGUGUGUUUCCUUACCUACAGGGGGAGGCUGAACCGUAGUUUCUAGGCCUUCAAGGGGUGUUGCUGCAGCCACGGGGGCAGCCCUCCUGCGCCUGGACUUAUGCCUGCGAGCAGAGGAGCUUCCGCACAUAGCUCGUCAGAGCAUCCAUGCAUCUGCACUAAGUGCAGGCAAGUUUCAGCGGGGUUUUGUUUCUUUGCGAGGAUGUGUGGCUCCCUUGUGACAGAUGAAGCAGUUGUUACCGGUUGAGCUAAGGAUGAUCUAAGUUAUCCCUGUCUGAAAUGACACUUCAGUGAAGAGUCACGGUUUACUGAGGCUCAACUUUUAAGACUUGUUUUGAGAGUGACCACGUUAGGUAGCUUCUGUUAGAAUGAAGUGUGUUGUCUUUAUUACUCCUUCAGAUUCCAGGACGGCUCCAGGGGGGCAUCAUCGAAAGGCGUGGCACAUCAGGGCCUUCGGGAUGGCUGCGUCCUGGUUAUUGCCCUGUGGUGCCAGAGAGAACCACACAGCCUGCUGCUGCUCCUGCCUUUAAUUUCCCAAAGAGCCAUCAAAAGACCUUGGACUUUGUUCUGCAAGAGGAGCUAGCAAAAUGGAGUGACUGUGGUCACCCUGGAAGCCUUUGACAGCUGGGGAGGCCCUGCUGAGCUUAGAAAACCAUCUGAUAGAUUUCCUGAGUAAGGAUUGGGCUUUGUAUUUUGAAGCACAAAUAAACUUGAUAAAAUUAAACUUGG